Long non-coding RNA from Athalia rosae (coleseed sawfly), 1488 nucleotides. RefSeq lists it as uncharacterized. The transcript is spliced from 4 exons. Lineage: Eukaryota; Metazoa; Arthropoda; Insecta; Hymenoptera; Athaliidae. The record is from RefSeq and is a predicted model, not a curated record.
UAUAAAUUCAAACAUUCAAAUGUCAGUAGUUGCGAAGUAAAGAGUGCUGUAAGAAUAUUGAUAAUAUUACAAUUUGUGACUUAUUUAUUUCCUACUGCGCAUAUAAAAGACUGGAAUAAGUGAACAUACAUAAGUGCAGAGGAAUAUGGACGACGAAGUAUCAGUGUUACCGCCAAAGAAAAGGAAACAAAAAGGCCAGACUGUUCACAGACGGGAGCGAUUGAUGAUCGUGAAGUUGUACACACAAGGAUCUCAAGGUCGAGGAUCCCAGAAUAUCAAAAAGGGAGGCAGAUGACAUAUUGUCCAAAUAGACAGGGUUUGGCGUAUUCAGCAUUAAAAAUAUGCAGAUAUAUUGAAUGCAACCUUUGCGACGCUUGGACUAUUUGUUUGCUGGAUUCAAAAGCGAGAGCAAAUGCUCCGCGAGGCGCCAGCAGCUGCUUCAGGGGCCCUGGCAAGAUCCCAAUUUUCAGAUUUUUCGCACGCUCCUAACUGCUGAUACCGACGGAGGUUCACGCACGUGAAAAAUUCGUGUGUUGGUAAACGCAAGAUGAGUUGUCGCUAGUCAGGCGUAUGGAGUGGCCACUUUCGUAUGGAACUCUUGGUAUUCCGUUCAAAGAGACACCAAAAAAGAAUCUGAGGGAAAUACAGGGAGUUGCAGAUGUACCUGCCCAAUUUCGCAUUGCACAUCAACGAGUAAGAUUAAUUUUUCACCGAUCUUACACCGUGUUCAUACAAAGGUAUUGAUACAACAGAGAAAAUAUACAUAUAUGUAGAUCAAUUUACAAAACCACUGUAGGUUUUAGCUUUGUCAACUAGCUCAUUUAUGUGCAGAUUGUAAAACAAAUAUAUUCACUCUGAUAAAGGCCACUCUUCCCACUUUCAUGAAACAAGUAUUUUCUGUUUUGGACACAUUUUUUGAGAAUUGGAGCAUUUGCUUCAGUGUAAAGAAACUGUGCAAGAUCUUUGACAUUUACGUAUCUAUCUACAUUGCAAAUUUCGAUUUCGAAUAUGAAUUACUUACAACAAUGUGUUUAAUUGAAGACAUACAAUAUGCAUGAAUCACAUUUUCAAUAAAAUUUUCCAACUAUUGCCACAAGCUAUUAGACACUUGUGUCGAGUAAAUAAGAAGAGGGACUACAGAUUAUGUAGUACAUACAUAUGUAUGUAUGUACAUAAAACUCGCGAGGUUGAUUAUCAAUCACUUUGUAAUAUGAUGUGGAAUCGGGCAAAUUCUUCAUAAACGGUGUCUCGAGCCAAAUAAUUUGUGUAACUAUAUCUUGGACAUUAGAGGGAUCAUAAUCAAUUGCACCAAGCAUUCAUGUCACAUAGUUUCGUACACUGAAACGUUAUACACAUUUACCGUUCAGCACUUUAGGUAUUUUCUAGUAACGUGAAUUCAGUUACAUUAGUUGCAUUUGUUUGAUUAUUUGUAACAUUCGACUAGAGUACAUAUUGUUUCAGUUACAAAUCAUCGUCAUUACUAAAGUA